UGGGGAAUAUUGCACAAUGGGCGCAAGCCUGAUGCAGCCAUGCCGCGUGUGUGAAGAAGGCCUUCGGGUUGUAAAGCACUUUCAGCGAGGAGGAAGGGUUCAGUGUUAAUAGCACUGUUCAUUGACGUUACUCGCAGAAGAAGCACCGGCUAACUCCGUGCCAGCAGCCGCGGUAAUACGGAGGGUGCAAGCGUUAAUCGGAAUUACUGGGCGUAAAGCGCACGCAGGCGGUUUGUUAAGUCAGAUGUGAAAUCCCCGCGCUUAACGUGGGAACUGCAUUUGAAACUGGCAAGCUAGAGUCUUGUAGAGGGGGGUGAGAAUUCCAGGUGUAGCGGUGAAAUGCGUAGAGAUCUGGAGGAAUACCGGUGGCGAAGGCGGCCCCCUGGACAAAGACUGACGCUCAGGUGCGAAAGCGUGGGGAG
This 422-nucleotide ribosomal RNA is filed under the name uncultured bacterium. RNAcentral describes it as "partial 16S ribosomal RNA". It matches the Rfam family "Bacterial small subunit ribosomal RNA", at positions 355 to 768 of the family's 1533-position model. The record is from RNAcentral.